GAUGAAGAACGCAGCGAAAUGCGAUACUUGGUGUGAAUUGCAGAAUCCCGUGAACCAUCGAGUCUUUGAACGCAAGUUGCGCCUCAAGCCAUUAGGUUGAGGGCACGUCUGCCUGGGCGUCACAUAUCGUUGCCUGAUGCCAGUUUCCCCGUGAUGGGUGACUGUGCAGGGCGAAUGAUGGCUUCCCGUGAGCAUUGUUGCCUCAUGGUUGGUUGAAAAUUGAGUCCUUGGUAGGGAGCGCCGUGAUAGAUGGUGGUUGAGUGACGAACGAGACCCAAUCAUGUGAGACCCCUACCGAAUUUGGCCUUCAUGACCCACAUGCGUCUUUGGAACGCUCAUGACGAGACCUCAGGUCAGGCGGGGCUACCCGCUGAGUUUAAGCAUAUCAAUAAGCGGAGGA
Molecule: unclassified non-coding RNA, 400 nt
Filed under: soil metagenome
Description: partial contains 5.8S ribosomal RNA, internal transcribed spacer 2, and large subunit ribosomal RNA
Rfam family: 5.8S ribosomal RNA (bases 1-122)
Source: RNAcentral